UGGAGAGCUUGCUUUCCAUGAGAGUGGCGCACGGGUGCGUAACACGUAUGUAACCUACCUUGUUCAGGGGGAUAGCCUCUCGAAAGAGAGAUUAAGACCGCAUAACAUUAUUGAAUGGCAUCGUUUAAUAAUCAAAUAUUUAUAGGAACAAGAUGGGCAUGCGGAACAUUAGCUAGUUGGUAAGGUAACGGCUUACCAAGGCUACGAUGUUUAGGGGAUCUGAGAGGAUGACCCCCCACACUGGUACUGAGACACGGACCAGACUCCUACGGGAGGCAGCAGUAAGGAAUAUUGGUCAAUGGGCGGAAGCCUGAACCAGCCAUGCCGCGUGCAGGAAGACGGCCCUAUGGGUUGUAAACUGCUUUUAUACCGGAAUAAACCUUGAUACGUGUAUCAAGCUGAAUGUACGGUAAGAAUAAGGAUCGGCUAACUCCGUGCCAGCAGCCGCGGUAAUACGGAGGAUCCAAGCGUUAUCCGGAUUUAUUGGGUUUAAAGGGUGCGUAGGUGGUUCUUUAAGUCAGGGGUGAAAGACGGCAGCUUAACUGUCGCAGUGCCUUUGAUACUGAAGAACUUGAAUCCACUAGAGGUAGGCGGAAUGUGACAAGUAGCGGUGAAAUGCAUAGAUAUGUCACAGAACACCAAUUGCGAAGGCAGCUUACUAUGGUGGUAUUGACACUGAGGCACGAAAGCGUGGGGAUCAAACAGGAUUAGAUACCCUGGUAGUCCACGCCCUAAACGAUGAAUACUCGAUGUUGGCGAUAUACGGUCAGCGUCUAAGCGAAAGCGUUAAGUAUUCCACCU
RNAcentral lists this ribosomal RNA (801 nucleotides) under uncultured bacterium. RNAcentral describes it as "bacterial SSU rRNA". It matches the Rfam family "Bacterial small subunit ribosomal RNA", at positions 72 to 874 of the family's 1533-position model. The record is from RNAcentral.